UCUUUCUUUCUUUCGUUCGUAUUCGUCGUGCGUAUUUGACCGAAUAAAGGUGAAGAAGAAGAAGAAGAAGAAGAAGAGGAAGAAGAGGAAGCGAGAAAGAUUGCACCUGACGUAGAAAUAUUUUAUAUGGAAAUAUAUACCAUAAGAAACGGUCCGACGGAGGUCCAGCCACAGGGUGUCAUGGUUGGAACGUUGGUUUGUGGUGAUGGGUUAAAUAGCGUGUAAGGCGUAGGACAAUUCACUUUAGGACAAGCAGGCUCGACGACGAUACCAGGAAAUUUGGUGUCUAUUGGAAUGUACCAUUGGAUGGGUGUACAUCCUCCUGACCUUUUCGGACAAACAGCCAUCUUCGAGAAUAUUGUAAUGAACAACCUCCCGACCUCUCGACCAGAACACCUUGACGUCCGUUGACAAACGAAGAUGGCGUCCUUUCUGCCUGCGUACAAAAGCGUCCUUUGUUCCUCGUCGUUCGUCGACGCAUCCGGUUUCAUCCAACGCCCGUGGUGGGGUUUAGGACCGCUACGAGAUGGCGACCAAUCGUUUCCGAGCAAAAGCAACCUAUGGAACGUGUCGAUAUACGUAACAACUAGAUACAAGGAGUAGAAUACUAAGCAUUCACCUGGCGGAUAUACGAAAUUCAAAUAUUUCUGUUGCCUUGGCUUAUCAACUUCAAACACAAACGUUUCCUGGGUUGGAACUUUGUUCUUGUACCCUCAUCCGUUCGUCGACGUUCGUGAGCGGAUUUGUCUGGCACUCUAAUAGAAAAAAUAUAUAUAUAAUAGUCGCAUAA
Molecule: long non-coding RNA, 790 nt
Organism: Vespula vulgaris
Lineage: Eukaryota; Metazoa; Arthropoda; Insecta; Hymenoptera; Vespidae
Exons: 4
Source: RefSeq, a predicted model, not a curated record